Molecule: RNA transcript, 1122 nt
Organism: Amaranthus tricolor (Joseph's coat)
Lineage: Eukaryota; Viridiplantae; Streptophyta; Magnoliopsida; Caryophyllales; Amaranthaceae
Gene name: 4,5-DOPA dioxygenase extradiol-like
Exons: 5
Source: RefSeq, a predicted model, not a curated record
AACAAUGAACCAAAAUCAAUGCAUAAAACGAAUGAACACGUCUUUCUAGGGUAGUCAAAUUUCCAAUUAAUACCUCGAAAUGCAAAAUGGGUAGUCAAGAAAUCAUCAAAGAAACCUUCUUCAUCUCCCAUGGAACCCCUAGAAUGACAAUUGAAGCGUCGAAACCAGCAAGGAAAUUUCUAGAAAGUUGGAGGGAUAAAAUCUAUUUCAAGAAACCCAAAGCAAUUCUUGUCAUUUCUGCUCACUGGGAAACUGAUUUCCCUUCUGUUAAUGCUGUGGAUAUCAAUGAUACCAUCUAUGAUUUCUAUGGCUUCCCUGCUCCCAUGUACCAGUUCAAAUACCCAGCUCCUGGAUCUCCGGAUUUGGCACAAAGAGUACAAGAACUUCUUACAGCCUCAGGAUUCAAAAGUGUAAAUGUUGACAAGAAACGAGGACUUGAUCAUGGUGCAUGGGUGCCUUUGAUGCUCAUGUAUCCUAAUGCUGACAUUCCUGUGUGUCAGCUCUCAGUGCAAUCACACUUGGAUGGCAUGUACCAUUAUAAGCUGGGACGAGCCUUGGCUCCUCUGAAGGAGGAAGGUGUCCUCAUUAUUGGUUCUGGAAGUGCAACACACCCUUCAAAUAACACUCCCCAUUAUUAUGAUGGUGUCGCUCCAUGGGCUGCAGAUUUUGAUCAUUGGCUUGAAACUGCCCUGACAAAUGGAAGUUAUGAAGAGGUGAAUAAAUGUGAAAGUAAAGCACCCAAUUGGAAGUUGGCACAUCCAUGGCCAGAACACUUCUAUCCAUUACAUGUGGCAAUGGGAGCCGCUGGCGAAAAUUGGAAAGCCGAGCUGAUUCAUAACAGCUGGGAUCAUGGUACCAUGUCUUAUGGAUCCUACAAAUUUGUUUCAAGCUGAGUUUAACCCUGGAGAAUUUCUUUAAAGAUGAAGCAAAACAAUAUUUAAAAAGUGGACGUUGAAAUGAAUGGAAGUUUGAAACGCCAACCAGAGGAAGGGGUAGCUGAAGUAUCCUGCACCAGGAGCUCCAGAAUUGGCAAAGCGAGUGCAGGAGCUUCUAACCACAUCUGGAUUUAGGCAUGUAAAAGUAGACAAGAAACGAGGGCUAGAUCACGGUGCAUGGAUACCA